Long non-coding RNA from Bradysia coprophila, 1044 nucleotides. The record is from RefSeq and is a predicted model, not a curated record. Lineage: Eukaryota; Metazoa; Arthropoda; Insecta; Diptera; Sciaridae.
UCGUUCUCCUUGAUUACAUUCAAAGCACACAUUAGUAUGUCUCCACUCUCCCCGUUCAACUUUCACCUUUCGAACUUAAUGUGUGUUCUGAAUGCUAUCAGUGUAGGGCACACCACUCUGGUUUACUAUUUUCUUAUAUACCACAGAGUACUUUCUGUGGUAACUAACUCAACCACCGUCGCUCGAUCUAUGUGGUCGGACUAGCUACUUUAUCAUCUUUUAUCAAUUACCUUUUCCCUUUGAUUUUACCUUUUCUUAUUUUGUCACGCUCUGUACCUUUUUAGUUCUUUCAUAUUCAUUUUGUUUCAAGUGUCCUUCCUUCGUCAUCUACUUUAUUUUUACGUCCAUGGUUCACUUCAUUACUUGUAUUGUUUUCUGAGUGUGGUAAAAAGGGGAGGAUUAGGUUUGACUUUUUACUAGCUUCGUCAUCAUUUUUCUUUUAAAGUUACUCUUAUUUUAGUAUUCUUAUUCUAUUACUGCAUUACUCAUCAUCCUCCUUACACCUCAAGGCGUAAGCAUUCAUCACACCCGGUACGUUCGCAUUACCACUAUCAAUCAGCAUGCCAUUCUCACAUUUACUUCAAACUAAGAUCGUACACUUUUUCUCACACCACGCAUUCUACACUUUCUAUUCCCAUUUUCGUCUUGUCACGUAUACCCACAAUUCAGUAUGUCGACCGUAGACACCGUUAUUGCCGAACCAACUUACGAGAGCAGAGGCCAGCUAAUCGUUUCUGUCGAGGGGAAUAUUGGAAGCGGGAAAAGCACGUUCCUCUCCUACUGCUCACAGGAUCCAGCGUUCGACGUUUUCAGUGAGCCUGUCGACACUUGGUCUAAUGUCGGUGGGACCAACUUGCUCGAGCAAUUUUACUCGGAUCCUGCGAAGUGGGGAUUCCCAUUUCAAAUGGAAGUAAUGAUUACUUUGCUCGAUCGCUAUCUGCGAAUCUCACCACGUCGUAUCAAGCUAGUUGAGCGGUCACUGUUGAGCGCUCGUCAUUGUUUCCAGCGGUGUAUGCUUGCACAUGGUCAUUUGGAUUCCGUUUC